RNAcentral lists this unclassified non-coding RNA (324 nucleotides) under uncultured fungus. RNAcentral's name for it is "sequence contains ITS1". The stretch from base 1 to 103 matches the Rfam family "5.8S ribosomal RNA", at positions 49 to 154 of the family's 154-position model. The record is from RNAcentral. Lineage: Eukaryota; Fungi.
UAAAUUGCGAUACGUAGCGUGAGGUGCAAAGCUCGAGCGCUGAAUCUUUGAAUGCACAUUGCGCCAUUCGACUCCGUCGUCUGGCACGUCUGGCUCAGGGUUGACAUAUCAAACAACUGUCUUGUUGUUUUUGGUUGGUUCGUUCAAUUGGUCUAUGGCUCUAAAGACAUCAAACAAUUGUUCGGACAUGUGGUCAUGUUGGUGCAUCAAUCUAACGUAGAAUCUGUCUGUUUCGACAUUGAUUUCUCGUGCUCUUUGCCUCUUAAAGCGGAUGUGCCUUCUUCAAUCAACCUGAGCUUAGUCGUGAGUACCCGCUGAACUUAA